UGCAACCAAUAUUUAAGAACGAUGCAGAGAUAUGAUUAUAUUUGAUGCUGGUUGUUGGUCUGCGAGUCGGGAACUCAUGCUGAACCGGCAUUGAACCGCUCAAACGCGUUUCAGCAAUGCGCCGUGUUCAGUGAGGAACUGAAGGAACCAGUCAGUUCAACAAACCCGCGAGUGAUGACGGAUCCAAUAAGUGAUGCAAUGCCGGUUCAGCAUGAAUUCUGAUUAUCCUAGGCCGAUAUCUUGUCGAGGUCGAAAUACUGGGCGAAACAGAGCGAGAACUAAGAUGAUCAAACUGCAGUUGUUUGUCCAUAACAUUUAUAAUACAUACAGAUUGUUGAAUAAUCUUGAAAAUAUUCGUGGCUAAAUUGCGAUAAAAGAAUUAUUAUCAGGAAUAUCCUUUUUUCAUAACUUGAGCAUGCAUAAACCUAAGGCAAUCAAGACAACACUUAACCAUACAAGAACCAAAAAAAAAAAAUCUACAGUGACAUCUCUGGGAAAUUACUCCGUACUACGCAUCAACUUCUGGAAAUCUUGGACAUUACUUCGUUUGGCAUGUUCUUCUUGAAGAGGACUACAUCUAUUCAUCUAGAAAUCAUCCACAACAGUACAGGUAUUAUGGCCAAUUUGUUGGGCGCUGGUCCAGAAGCAGCACCACGACCUCAGGUAGCAGCUGCGGCUAUCACUCAGGCAGCCAAAUGCUUUGCCACCGAUAGCUCAUGUACAUUAUCAACCACCGCACCCUGCGCCUGCAUCGAACAUCCAGGAUCACCAUCACCAUCCUCUGGAGCCUUGAAGCACUAAAAAACAUCUUCAAUCUUCAAGAAGCUCAUCCGUCGAACUUGGAUGUCGCUGCUGACAAUCAGCUCUUCAAAUCAUCGAUUUCAUCGGAGAAAGACCGAAAUCUAUCCAUGGGAAUUGCCUGCCCAUUCUCACUUUUCUUCGGGAUCAUCAUUUUCCUGAGACUUCUGAUGCCUUAAUAGGAAUUCUUGACCCACCUGAAUUAAACUUAAUAUUGUAUAUGUGUAUAUGCAGUUAGUGUUACUGCAUAUACUGUGCUGUAUAUAACUUAGUUCACGAUUUUCUUUUUUUCUUUGUAUGCCUUGGUUGUACUUAUAACAUUGAUUUCAUAAAGCCCGCUAUUUCUCCCCACCAUUGGGACUAAUAGAAAAACAAAGACCUAUCUAUGAGAGAAGAUAGGGCUGACCGGCUCAUUCUUGUUGAGAAAAAGAGGAGAAGAAAAACGUGGCUCUUAUUAAGUUUUAAAAUUGAUUAUAGAUAAAGUGUUAUCAGUUUGUUUUUAAUUUUAAUUUAGUUAAAGGUACAUUGUACACAACAUACACAGUGUUUCUUUUUGUGCAUGCACAAGAAUUUUGGUUUAUUUUUUCCUAUUUCGCAUUUUUCUUAUUCUUUAUUGUAAGCAUUAAUCUUUUUAUAAUUUUCGAUUAAGCAUUGAUCUUUUGUAUCAUUUAUUGUUAGAAUAUAUUUAGUUUAGAUAA
Long non-coding RNA from Cimex lectularius (bed bug), 1496 nucleotides. RefSeq lists it as uncharacterized. The transcript is spliced from 2 exons. The record is from RefSeq and is a predicted model, not a curated record. NCBI's taxonomy places the organism in Eukaryota, Metazoa, Arthropoda, Insecta, Hemiptera, Cimicidae.